This 73-nucleotide transfer RNA is filed under the name Diaphorina citri (Asian citrus psyllid). It matches the Rfam family "tRNA". From Rfam's summary of the family: Transfer RNA (tRNA) molecules are approximately 80 nucleotides in length. Their secondary structure includes four short double-helical elements and three loops (D, anti-codon, and T loops). Further hydrogen bonds mediate the characteristic L-shaped molecular structure. tRNAs have two regions of fundamental functional importance: the anti-codon, which is responsible for specific mRNA codon recognition, and the 3' end, to which the tRNAs corresponding amino acid is attached (by aminoacyl-tRNA synthetases). tRNAs cope with the degeneracy of the genetic code in two manners: having more than one tRNA (with a specific anti-codon) for a particular amino acid; and 'wobble' base-pairing, i.e. permitting non-standard base-pairing at the 3rd anti-codon position. Lineage: Eukaryota; Metazoa; Arthropoda; Insecta; Hemiptera; Psyllidae. The record is from Rfam by way of RNAcentral.
GCCUAGUUAGCUUAGUUGGUAGUGCGUCUGCCUUGUAAGCGCUAGCCCGCGGGUUCGAUUCCCACCCGGGGCG